GGGGGCAUGGUGGUGAAGUGGGUAGCACUGCUGCCUCAUAGCGCCUCUGCUGUUCCGGCGUCGGUUCAAAUCCGACUGUCUGCG
This 84-nucleotide transfer RNA is filed under the name Scleropages formosus (Asian bonytongue). RNAcentral's name for it is "tRNA-Met". Lineage: Eukaryota; Metazoa; Chordata; Actinopteri; Osteoglossiformes; Osteoglossidae. The record is from RNAcentral.